GCAGGGGCCGCCACCAGCAGUGUGGCGGCCGCCAACGGUGUUACUACCACCGAGAGCAAAGUUGGUGGCAGGAGAUUCAGUUUCAGACGAUCUUCUUCCCCUUCUUGGACCGUUGAUCCCAGGAGGAUACUAAUUUUCUUUGCUACCCUAUCAAGUAUUGGAACAAUACUAUUGAUCUAUUUCACUCUAUCCAUGGCCAAGGUUAAUGGAGAAGACAAAGCUUCUUAUUAAUCUAUUUCAUACUAUCCAUUGCCAGGCAAAAUGGAGAAGACAGUUUUCAGUUAACAGAAGAGAUGUGGGGAACUGUUUGCUCUCUUAAAUAACAAAGUGAUAAAAAGGCCAAGCUACUACUUGCAAAUUCCAACUCAGAAGUCUGAUAUCGAGGCAGAAGAGAUAUUGAAGAGAUAUUGAGCAUGACUAGUUUUUGAAUAACAAAAAGGAGUUAGAUGAAUGGAGCCAAAAGAGAUGCUAAAAUUACAGCUUGGCCUUCCAUUAGAAAGAAUUCAAAGAAAUAACUUCAAUCAGCUGCCAACACAACAUGAAAAAGAUGUGAAAUAUUCAAAUAAUGAGUGGCGGGGUUUGGAACACAUGUAUAUCUUUUUUUUUCUUUUUUUUUUUUAUGUGUUUUUGGUUAUGUUUUUUGGUUUGGUAUAUUAUACAGAAGUUGUUUUUGAGAACCAGGAGUAAUAUUUUGCGAUCCUCUACUGUAAGCUAUUAAUAGAACAAGACAUACCUCUUUAUUGAA
This is a non-coding RNA of Nicotiana tabacum (common tobacco), 745 nucleotides long. Lineage: Eukaryota; Viridiplantae; Streptophyta; Magnoliopsida; Solanales; Solanaceae. The record is from RefSeq and is a predicted model, not a curated record.